Molecule: ribosomal RNA, 445 nt
Filed under: uncultured prokaryote
Description: bacterial SSU rRNA
Rfam family: Bacterial small subunit ribosomal RNA
Source: RNAcentral
UGGGGAAUUUUCCGCAAUGGGCGAAAGCCUGACGGAGCCACGCCGCGUGUGCGAUGAAGGCCCUCGGGUCGUAAAGCACUGUGGAGAGAGAAGAAGAAAGCCAGUGAAGAGCUGGCCUUGACGGUAUCUCUUUAGCAAGCACCGGCUAACUCCGUGCCAGCAGCCGCGGUAAUACGGAGGGUGCGAACGUUGCUCGGAAUCAUUGGGCGUAAAGCGCGCGUAGGCGGCCUGUCAAGUUGGGUGUGAAAGCCCGGGGCUCAACCCCGGAAGUGCAUCCAAAACUGUCAGGCUCGAGUACCAGAGGGGAGCAGAGAAUUCCCGGUGUAGAGGUGAAAUUCGUAGAUAUCGGGAGGAAUACCAGUGGCGAAGGCGCUGCUCUGGAUGGAUACUGACGCUGAGGUGCGAAAGCGUGGGGAGCAAACAGGAUUAGAUACCCGUGUAGUCC